GUGAAUCAUCGAAUCUUUGAACGCACCUUGCGCCCUUUGGUAUUCCGAAGGGCAUGUCUGUCUGAGUGUCACGAAAUUCUCAACCUCCAAUCCUUUGUGGUUGGCUGGUUGGAUCCUGGGUGCUUGCCGGCUCCGGUCUGGCUCACCUGAAAUACAUUUGUGAUCGUGCACCCUUGUGAGUUGGCCCGACUAGGCGUGAUAGUGAUAACGUUCGUCUAGGAUCCCGCUUCGUGCGAGGAGCCGCUCCUGUUGUGGUGCCGUGUGGUCGCAUUACCCCUAUACAUCUUUGGUUUUGACCCCAGAUCAGGCAGGACUACCCGCUGAACUUAA
This 330-nucleotide ribosomal RNA is filed under the name uncultured fungus. RNAcentral's name for it is "eukaryotic LSU rRNA". The stretch from base 1 to 71 matches the Rfam family "5.8S ribosomal RNA", at positions 84 to 154 of the family's 154-position model. The record is from RNAcentral. Lineage: Eukaryota; Fungi.